This 30-nucleotide non-coding RNA is filed under the name Mus musculus (house mouse). Lineage: Eukaryota; Metazoa; Chordata; Mammalia; Rodentia; Muridae. The record is from RNAcentral.
UUUUGUUUUAUUGGCAAAGGUGAAGUACAG